Molecule: long non-coding RNA, 511 nt
Organism: Anopheles merus
Lineage: Eukaryota; Metazoa; Arthropoda; Insecta; Diptera; Culicidae
Exons: 4
Source: RefSeq, a predicted model, not a curated record
UUGGUAUCUGUCGAGAGGGAAAGCAGUCCGAACGAUUAGCGCGGGUCGAAGAACAGCAACGAGGGAAGCAACAACCGCCAACAGUAGACUGCUUGGAUUUUCUAACUUGUUUUAUGGAACGCAAUUGCAAUUUGAUGAAGAAAAUCAAACGAGAGAGGCAUUUGAAAUCGAAGCAGGCGUGAAACAUAUCAACCCUUGAAGAUGACUGUUAAAAUACGCUGAGAAAAUUGGAGUAUAUUCUCAAACGAUUAGUGCGCUUUUUAGCAGUUUGAUUAAUGUAGUUUGCAAUGAAUCAUAUCACUUCACAACUGUCAAAUUAUUGUUCUCGAUCCCGAUUCCUGGCUAGAAUUUGUCUGUCGAGCACGAAAGGCUUGAAUCGUUUUUCCGAUCGACAGAUCACGUAGACGAUAUUUCAUGGGCGAAAUUCGACAUAUUUCUAUGGAAACGUCCUAAACUAUUUUUCAAAGUGGGGUUGUUUAAUUGCAAAUUAAACCAUUUUUUUUACAAUUUU